This is a long non-coding RNA of Myotis myotis, 815 nucleotides long. RefSeq lists it as uncharacterized. The record is from RefSeq and is a predicted model, not a curated record. The transcript has 3 exons. NCBI's taxonomy places the organism in Eukaryota, Metazoa, Chordata, Mammalia, Chiroptera, Vespertilionidae.
GGAGUAUAACACACCCCUGGAAAACUGAGCUCUUGUUGCUAUCAGAGUGAAGUAGUCAUGAGACAGGCACUUGGGGUGGGGCCUGGGCUCACAUGUCACCUUAGCCACACGGGCUCCACGCUUUCACAAGUUCUUCCCCGGGCUGAUGGGGAGGGAAGCACAAGCAUCCAUGCUGAGCUCUCAGUAAAGGGCGGGCAAGGUCCUCAGUCAACAUGCUGCUGAUGAUAAUGCUGGUGAUGAACACCUACGGGAAUUACAGCGUGGUAUUUAUCACCGCCCAUGAUGAGUGCUUCGUGAAGUUGGGACCAGAUCCUGCAGCCGCUCCUGUCCGUCUUGGAGGCCAGCCUGUGCACAGCCCAGAGCAUCACACAGCAGCCACGUGUCCUGGCCACGUCAUGCUGCAGCCUCCCCCACACUGCCUGAUAUUUUAGCAGGACAUUCGCCUCCAGAUUCACACUCACGGAGCUGCCUGUCAAGAGUAACUUCAGGUGAAUCACAAAGGAAGCAGAGAGGCACUCAUCAAAUGUCCUGUGCUGUCCCCGCUGGAGAGCCACUCGGCACGCGGCCCCCACAGGGCUCCCAGGCGGCUCUCCUCGGCUGCUCUGAGGACUCUGAACAAACACCACCAACAUCAUCUCUGGCUCUAGGGGUUCCUGGCGCUCUGAUCCCUUGCCACAUCUGGGCUUCUGUGCAUCUUCAGCCCCAGGACCUGUGGUCAGAUGGGCUAAGGGGCAGCUGUCUGUGAAAAGCAUAUAUUGUAUCUGAUUAUAUGGAUUGUUAACUUCUGCUAAAAAUAAAUUAUUUACAUGUCACUA